Molecule: ribosomal RNA, 543 nt
Filed under: uncultured Dicyma
Lineage: Eukaryota; Fungi; Ascomycota; Sordariomycetes; Xylariales
Description: SSU rRNA
Rfam family: Eukaryotic small subunit ribosomal RNA
Source: RNAcentral
GGGAGGGCAAGUCUGGUGCCAGCAGCCGCGGUAAUUCCAGCUCCAAUAGCGUAUAUUAAAGUUGUUGCAGUUAAAAAGCUCGUAGUUGAACCUUGGGCCUGGCUGGCCGGUCCGCCUCACCGCGUGCACUGGUUCGGCCGGGCCUUUCCCUCUGGGGAAUCCCAUGCCCUUCACUGGGUGUGGCGAGGAACCAGGACUUUUACUGUGAAAAAAUUAGAGUGUUCAAAGCAGGCCUAUGCUCGAAUACAUUAGCAUGGAAUAAUAGAAUAGGACGUGUGGUUCUAUUUUGUUGGUUUCUAGGACCACCGUAAUGAUUAAUAGGGACAGUCGGGGGCAUCAGUAUUCAAUUGUCAGAGGUGAAAUUCUUGGAUUUAUUGAAGACUAACUACUGCGAAAGCAUUUGCCAAGGAUGUUUUCAUUAAUCAGGAACGAAAGUUAGGGGACCGAAGACGAUCGGAUACCGUCGUAGUCUUAACCAUAAACUAUGCCGACUAGGGAUCGGACGAUGUUAUUUUUUGACUCGUUCGGCACCUUACGGGAAAC